RNAcentral lists this ribosomal RNA (253 nucleotides) under uncultured bacterium. RNAcentral describes it as "partial 16S ribosomal RNA". It matches the Rfam family "Bacterial small subunit ribosomal RNA", at positions 524 to 776 of the family's 1533-position model. The record is from RNAcentral.
UACGUAGGAUGCAAGCGUUGUCCGGAUUCACUGGGUGUAAAGGGAGCGCAGGCGGGUUAGUAAGUCAGUGGUGAAAUACUUAGGCUUAACCUGAGAAUUGCCACUGAUACUGCUAAUCUUGAGUGCAGGAGAGGUUGGUGGAAGUCUAGGUGUAGCGGUGAAAUGCGUAGAUAUCUAGAAGAACACCGAUGGCGAAGGCAGCCAACUGGCCUGCUACUGACGCUCAUGCUCGAAAGCGUGGGGAGCAAACAGG